CGACUCUGUAGGUCUGCGUGGAGCCGCAGUUGCGGGUCUCUGUUCCGCAGGAUGGGGUUCGUGAAAGUUGUCAAGAAUAAGGCCUACUUUAAAAGAUACCAAGUGAGAUUUAGAAGGCGGCAAGAGGGUAAAAGUGACUACUAUGCACGGAAACGUUUGGUGAUCCAGGACAAAAAUAAGUACAACACACCGAAAUACAGGAUGAUAGUUCGUGUAACGAACAGAGACAUCAUCUGCCAGAUUGCAUAUGCCCGUAUAGAAGGGGAUAUGAUCGUCUGUGCAGCAUAUGCACAUG
Molecule: long non-coding RNA, 295 nt
Filed under: Rattus norvegicus (Norway rat)
Lineage: Eukaryota; Metazoa; Chordata; Mammalia; Rodentia; Muridae
Description: long non-coding RNA NONRATT006524
Source: RNAcentral